This 2250-nucleotide small RNA is filed under the name Arabidopsis thaliana (thale cress). Its description in RNAcentral is "ATSL100090". Lineage: Eukaryota; Viridiplantae; Streptophyta; Magnoliopsida; Brassicales; Brassicaceae. The record is from RNAcentral.
AUUGCAUGAAGAUUAGUUUGUUAGAAUCUUAAACUCUGUUUGACCUCAUGUGUAUAGCGAAAAUCAACGACAUCGUUAAUUGACUCAUACGAUGCACAAUGUUGUAAGUGUCUCAAAGUGAGAUCUAUAGAGUUACAAGAAGAUUACAAAGAGAUUCGAAAUAAAAAAACCGAAAAAGUCUUUUGAAUGCAAGAGAUGUGUAGAACUUGGAGAUAUGGUUAUAAACUUUUAUUCUCCUACUAUUCGUUGGUUCCAAUGUACUGUCAUUUUAGAGAAUUUUUAUUUUUUAUGGAUCUAAUUUAAUUAACACAAAUCUUUAUUGAGAAUUUGUUGGUAUUCACGAAAUCCAAAGGAGGUAAUUACUCCCUCUUCACUUCAACCAAAAAGCCAAACCACAAAAAAAACUCUCUUCAUCUCCCUCAAAAUUUGAAAUAUGAUGAAGACGACUACUCAAGCUACAUCUCACAAGGUAUCGACAAUGUUUUAUUUUUAUCAUUGCAUGAAAAUUCGUUUGUCAGAAUCUUAAUCUUUGUUUGAUCUCAUGUGUGUAGUGAAAACCAACGACAUCAUUAAUUGACUCAUACUCUGCACAAUAUUGUAAGUGUCUCAAAGUGAGAUCUCUAGAGUCAGAAGAAGAUUACAAAGAGAUUCGAAGUAAAACACCGAAAAAGUCUUUUAAAUGCAAGAGAUGUGUAGAACUUGGAGAUAUGGUCAUGAAGUUUUAUUCUCCUACUGUUCGAUGGUUCCAAUGUACUAUUAUUUUAGAGAAUUUUCAUUUUUUAUGGAUCUAAUUUGAUUUACACAAAUCAUUAUUGAGAAUUUGUUGGUAUUUACAAAAUUCAAAGGAGAUAAUUACUCUCUCUUCACUUCAACCAAAAAGCCAAACCACAAAAAAAACUUUCUUCAUCUCCCUCAAAACUUGAAAUACGGUGAAGACGACUACUCAAGCUACAUCCCACAAGGUAUCGAGAAUGUUUUAUUUUUAUCAUUGCAUUAAGAUUCGUUUGUCAGAAUCUUAAUCUCUGUUUGAUCUCAUGAGUGUAGCGAAAACCAACGACAUCGUUAAUUGACUCAUACGCUACAAAAUGUUGUAAGUGUCUCAAAGUGAGAUCUAUAGAGUCACAAGAAGAUUACGAAGAGAUUCGAAGUAAAACACCAAAAAAGUCUGUUGAAUGCAAGGGAUGUGAAGAACUUGGAGAUAUGGAUAUGAACUUUCAUUCCCUACUGUGCAUUGGUUUCAAUAUACUAUUAUUUUAGAGGAUUUUCAUUUUGUAUGGAUCUAAUUUAAUUUACACAAAUCAUUAUUGAGAAGUUGUUGGUGUUCACGAAAUCCAAAAGAGAUAAUUAGUCCCUCUUCACUUCAACCAAAAAGUCAAACCACAAAAAAAACUCUCUUCAUCUCCCUCAAAACUUGAAAUAUGGUGAAGACGACUACUCAAGCUACAUCCCACAAGGUAUUGACAAUGUUUUAUUUUCAUCAUUGAAUGAAGAUUCGUUUGUCAUAAUCUUAAUCUCUGUUUGAUCUCAUGUGUAUAGUGAAAACCAACGACAUCAUUAAUUGACUCAUACGCUGCACAAUGUUGUAAGUGUCUCAAAGUGAGAUGUAUAGAGUCACAAGAAGAUUACAAAGAGAUUCGAAGUAAAACACCAAAGAAGUCUUUCGAAUGCAAGAGAUGUGAAGAACUUGGAUAUAUGGUUAUGAACUUUGAUUCCCUACUGUGUAUUGGUUCCAAUGUAUUAUUAUUUUAGAGAAUUUUCAUUUUAUGGAUCUUAUUUGAUUUACACAAAUCAUUAUUUAGAAUUUGUUGGUGUUCACGAAAUCCAAAGAAAAUAAUGAUUCCCUCUUCACUUCAACCAAAAAGCCAAAACAAAAAAAAAACUCUCUUCAUCUUCCUCAAAACUUAAAAUAUGGUGAAGACGACUACUUAAGCUACAUCCCACAAGGUAUCGAGAAUGUUUUAUUUUUAUCAUUGCAUUAAGAUUCGUUUGUCAGAAUCUUAAUCUCUGUUUGAUCUCAUGUGUGUAGCGAAAACCAACGACAUCGUUAAUUGACUCAUACGCUGCACAAUGUUGUAAGUGUCUCAAAGUGAGAUUUAUAGAGUCACAAGAAGAUUACGAAGAGAUUCGAAGUAAAACACCAAAAAAGUCUGUUAAAUGUAAGAGAUGUAAAGAACAUUGAGAUAUGGGUAUGAACUUUGAUUCCCUACUGUCCGUUGGUUUCAAUGUACUAUUAUUUUAGAGAAUUUUUAU